This 800-nucleotide ribosomal RNA is filed under the name Aeromicrobium sp. Its description in RNAcentral is "bacterial SSU rRNA". It matches the Rfam family "Bacterial small subunit ribosomal RNA", at positions 64 to 877 of the family's 1533-position model. The record is from RNAcentral. Lineage: Bacteria; Bacillati; Actinomycetota; Actinomycetes; Propionibacteriales; Nocardioidaceae.
GAGCGGUAAGGCCACUUCGGUGGUACACGAGCGGCGAACGGGUGAGUAACACGUGAGCAACCUGCCCUUCUCUUUGGAAUAAGCGUUGGAAACGACGUCUAAUGCCGAAUAUGACCUCUUUUCGCAUGAUUUGAGGUGGAAAGCUCCGGCGGAGAGGGAUGGGCUCGCGGCCUAUCAGCUAGUUGGUGUGGGUAAUGGCCCACCAAGGCGACGACGGGUAGCCGGCCUGAGAGGGUGACCGGCCACACUGGGACUGAGACACGGCCCAGACUCCUACGGGAGGCAGCAGUGGGGAAUAUUGGACAAUGGGCGAAAGCCUGAUCCAGCAACGCCGCGUGAGGGAUGACGGCCUUCGGGUUGUAAACCUCUUUCAGCGGGGACGAAGCGAAAGUGACGGUACCCGCAGAAGAAGGACCGGCCAACUACGUGCCAGCAGCCGCGGUAAUACGUAGGGUCCGAGCGUUGUCCGGAAUUAUUGGGCGUAAAGGGCUCGUAGGCGGUCUGUCGCGUCGGGAGUGAAAACUCAGGGCUCAACCCUGAGCGUGCUUCCGAUACGGGCAGACUAGAGGUAUGCAGGGGAGAACGGAAUUCCUGGUGUAGCGGUGGAAUGCGCAGAUAUCAGGAGGAACACCGGUGGCGAAGGCGGUUCUCUGGGCAUUACCUGACGCUGAGGAGCGAAAGCAUGGGGAGCGAACAGGAUUAGAUACCCUGGUAGUCCAUGCCGUAAACGUUGGGCGCUAGGUGUGGGGACCUUCCACGGUCUCCGUGCCGCAGCUAACGCAUUAAGCGCCCCGCCUGGG